CAAUAGCGUAUAUUUAAGUUGUUGCAGUUAAAAAGCUCGUAGUUGGAUUUCGGAUGGGACUUGCCGGUCCGUCGUUUCGAUGUGCACUGGCCAGUCCUAUCUUGUUGUCGGGGACUAGCUCCUGGGCUUCACUGUCCGGGACUAGGAGCUGACGAGGUUACUUUGAGUAAAUUAGAGUGUUCAAAGCAAGCCUACGCUCUGAAUACAUUAGCAUGGAAUAACACGAUAGGACUCUGGCUUAUCUUGUUGGUCUGUGAGACCAGAGUGAUGAUUAAGAGGGACAGUCGGGGGCAUUCGUAUUUCAUUGUCAGAGGUGAAAUUCUUGGAUUUAUGAAAGACGAACUUCUGCGAAAGCAUUUGUCAAGGAUGUUUUCAUUAA
Molecule: ribosomal RNA, 379 nt
Filed under: uncultured eukaryote
Lineage: Eukaryota
Description: partial 18S ribosomal RNA
Rfam family: Eukaryotic small subunit ribosomal RNA
Source: RNAcentral